AACGAACGCUGGCGGCAUGCCUAACACAUGCAAGUCGAACGAGACCUUCGGGUCUAGUGGCGCACGGGUGCGUAACGCGUGGGAAUCUGCCCUUGGGUUCGGAAUAACAGUUGGAAACGACUGCUAAUACCGGAUGAUGACGUAAGUCCAAAGAUUUAUCGCCCAAGGAUGAGCCCGCGUAGGAUUAGCUAGUUGGUGAGGUAAAGGCUCACCAAGGCGACGAUCCUUAGCUGGUCUGAGAGGAUGAUCAGCCACACUGGGACUGAGACACGGCCCAGACUCUUACGGGAGGCAGCAGUGGGGAAUAUUGGAACAUGGGCGAAGGCCUGAUCCAGCAAUGCCGCGUGAGUGAUGAAGGCCUUAGGGUUGUAAAGCUCUUUUAACCAGGAUGAUAAUGACAGUACCGGGAGAAUAAGCUCCGGCUAACUACGUG
RNAcentral lists this ribosomal RNA (433 nucleotides) under uncultured bacterium. Its description in RNAcentral is "partial 16S ribosomal RNA". It matches the Rfam family "Bacterial small subunit ribosomal RNA", at positions 29 to 507 of the family's 1533-position model. The record is from RNAcentral.